RNAcentral lists this transfer RNA (68 nucleotides) under Thespesia howii. Its description in RNAcentral is "tRNA-Gly". Lineage: Eukaryota; Viridiplantae; Streptophyta; Magnoliopsida; Malvales; Malvaceae. The record is from RNAcentral.
UCAUAUUCCGAGCAAAAACUUUACCAAGCUAACGAUGCGGGUUCGAUUCCCGCUACCCGCUCGAUAUU